Molecule: ribosomal RNA, 253 nt
Filed under: uncultured bacterium
Lineage: Bacteria
Description: partial 16S ribosomal RNA
Rfam family: Bacterial small subunit ribosomal RNA
Source: RNAcentral
UACGAAGGGUGCGAGCGUUAAUCGGAAUUACUGGGCGUAAAGCGUGCGCAGGCGGUUUGGUAAGACAGAUGUGAAAUUCCCGGGCUUAACCUGGGAACUGCAUUUGUGACUGCCAGGCUAGAGUGCGGCAGAGGGGAGUGGAAUUCCGCGUGUAGCAGUGAAAUGCGUAGAUAUGCGGAGGAACACCGAUGGCGAAGGCAACUCCCUGGGCCUGCACUGACGCUCAUGCACGAAAGCGUGGGGAGCAAACAGG